GUGACCAAGAUGAGCUGGUGCAAGUUUUAGACUGUAAAUUAGAGUUGAAUACAUCGGGAACUUGGUCCCAGAAAAGGUGGCAUCGAGAAAGAGGGAAAACAACAAAUUGUUGGGCUUAACAGCCAAAAAGAGACUCAGCCUACAAAUCCUGGUGUAAGAAAAAACCCAAAAAAUGGUGUGGGCAUGGUUACCCAUAGUCUACACAUGGGUAGGCCUCUAUCUGGGCAACACAUUGUUCCCACACAUACCGACACAUGACAUGCAAUUCCCAACACCUUGGGCACCUGAGCAGUAGUUGCCACCCGCACCUCCGUCCAUGCCCAAGAGAGUCAGGCGAUGGCUGCACACAUAGCCCAUAGGCAUGCAUGGAUAAGUCAUUCUGCACGCCUCGCACGUGCUGACCCACGCGCCAGAAAUGGGUGGCAUGCAUUCAGCCCCGUAAAUGUGCACCAAAGAUGGGUCACACUCCCCACCCCUUGCGCGCACGCAACCCACGCACGAGUAGCAGGCCCACACAGCCCAACUGGGCUAAUCACACUGCCACGACCCAAAUCACUUGCAACCUGGCCCAUUGGUGCGAUUUGAUUUUUAUAGUCCUUCUUUGGCUCCAAAAAAAUUUCAGCUUUUCCUAAUUCUACAAGGUAU
RNAcentral lists this long non-coding RNA (645 nucleotides) under Carica papaya (papaya). Its description in RNAcentral is "long non-coding RNA (CPAP_LNC004962)". The record is from RNAcentral. Lineage: Eukaryota; Viridiplantae; Streptophyta; Magnoliopsida; Brassicales; Caricaceae.